Molecule: long non-coding RNA, 2938 nt
Organism: Taeniopygia guttata (zebra finch)
Lineage: Eukaryota; Metazoa; Chordata; Aves; Passeriformes; Estrildidae
Source: Ensembl
AUACAUUUGGCUCAUGUCACGUUGUCCCUGCCCAUGGCUACAUGUCUUUUGUCUGUAAUGCUUUACUAUGUCUUCCUUUUUUCUAGAUGCAACCUACCCCAGAACCUGCCAGCUGCUCCAGCUGCCAUCCCUUCUUCUUCCACCCUACACAACAAGGCAGGAGAAAAUAAACUAACUGAGGCAGUGGCACUUCACAGCACAAUUCCCUGGCUCCUGUCCCACCCCUUCUGCCCUGUGAGUGCCUGCUCGUCCUCUGCUUGGAACUCUUUGGGAGAAGAAAAAUCUGAGCUUUCUGGGCCUGCAAGGCAAGCACCAAAGCAGCAGGUACCAAACACGGACAUCUGUGAAAGUCACUGUGCAGUGAAUAACAAACACCCAAAUGUGGGGCAUCCAGAGAGGCAGCCAGUCCAGCCCUGCACUCCAGCUGCACUCCAAGCACAAAGCUUUUACUGCAGUGACUAUUGACCGAGCCCAGCAGCCCUUUGGAAGGAGAGGCUUCUCAUCCAGCUGUGUAUCAGUGCCUGACUCCCAGAGCUGAUGGCUUUGCUUCAUAAUUUGGCUCUGACAGAGGGGAACAGAGCAGCAAGAGAAGGCAGCAAAUGCAGGAAAACCCUUCUGAACAAGUGGUGCUAAAAAGUACUGUUGAGCCUCUUCUUUGCACAAAUGUUGAAAACAACGCCAUGGCAUAAAAAAGGCUGGCUUUACAAACAGCAUGGUGGAAACCUGCAAGUAAACCAAGCACUAAAUAAGUAUGCAUAACUGGAUUAAUUUAUUUUUAAUAAGGUGCAAUAAUUAAAAUAAUAAUUAGAGAAAGGAAGGGCUCCAUUUUAAAGUUAUUUUCAGACUCACCACAAGUUUUGUUUUCAAAUUUGAGCUUAUACAUACAUACAUAUAUGUAUAAAGGUAAGUUUGUGUAUAAAUAUUACAUACAUAUAAUUUCCUUUAUCUACAUUGCCUUUUUCAUCAUUAAAGAAUUUGAAUCAUCUGCCUUACAUAGAGAAGUUUUAAUAACCAUGUUUGUAUGGGAAAUACAGUGGGUUUUUUCAGCCACUCACUAGUAUCACUUUGUGAAGCCUUAAAUGGCUUUAAAUGCCCUUUAGGCAGGCUUAAUUCUGCUUACUUCAGAGAAAUCUCAACUUACAGAAAGCUGGAAGAGGGGAAUCUUACUCCAGAACAGUAUUGGCCUGAUCCAUUCAAGCAUGAGCUUUUUAUAUCAAGUCUAUAAGCAAUAAUUCUGACCCAUAUGUUUUACUGAAUCAGAGCCUAAUUUUGUAAUAUCCAAUCCAAAUUUAUAUCUUAGUACCUGAACAUUUUGCCUUACCAACUAGAAUGUUGUCCUGCAUAAUUCAUGAAUCUAUGAAUUAUUUUUUAUAUAUCCUCUGACUCUAAUUUUUAAGAAAGAUGUUUGAAAACCAAACCAUAGAAAAACAAAAAUGCUUAACAGUGUUCUGAAACAAACUUAGACCAUGAUGUUGUGAACAGCACUGACAGCAGUGAGGGAUUAUUCACACAUUCAAGAUAAAUCCUAGAUGUAAAUAUUUCCUUGAUCAUAGCUUACACACUUAAGGGUGCAAAAACAAAGCAAAAUAUUUUUGUGCCAAGUCCAAUAAAAACACUUCACAUUAUAUUAAUUUAUAACAUGAAAAUACCCAUAAAACUUGUUCCUACUAAAAAAACCCAAAUCAAAGUGCAGUACCUUUAAUAUUUCUAUUACCUCCCUCUUGGAUGCUUAACAAGCAAAAUAGCAUAAACUUCUAUAGAUGGAUCUUUAGCGCAGUUUAGCAGAGCUCUAUGCAUCCCAUCAGAGCAGUGAAAUGAAGACAGACGGUGCAAUAAGUGCAAGAGCUGUAAAUGAAUGUGAACAGAAAUUGAUUUUGAAAUGUUCUUGGCACUUUCCCAAGAAAAUAUUAUCACUCUGUUUAAAGAGAAGCAUUCCAUGCAUUGUUUCAGGACUAUUAAGAAUAAACUCUGCCCUCCUUAAUUAUUUUCUCUUCUGAGACCUAUUUUCAGUGCACCUGCAACAUUAACAUAAAAACCAAGCAAACUUGUAUGGAUUGUUAAACUUAAGUAGAACAAGAAGUUUACUUGAGCACCAUGUCUAGUUCUGGGCUCUGCAGGACAGGACAGAUAUGGAGCUACUGGACAGAGUCCAGCAAAGGGUCACUGUGAUUUCAAAGGGCCUGAAACAUCUCUCCCACAAGGAAAGGCUGAGACAUCUGUGACUGCUUGGCCUGGAGAAGAGAAGAAUCAGGGAGGGACCUCGACAGUGCAGAGGAACACCUGGAGGGAAAGCGCAACCAGGACAGAGCCAGGAUUGUCUAAGCAGUGCCCAGUGACAGCACAAGAUGCAAAAGGCACAAACUGAAACACAGUUCUGUCUGAACAUCAGGAAACACUUUUUUACUGUGAGGGUGUCUGACCACUGGCACGGGUUGUCCAGGGAUGUCAUGGAGUCUCUGCACUCAGAUAUUCCAAAGCCACCCAGACACAGUUCUGGGCAACUCACCCUAAGUGAGAAGGGGAGGGGAGUUGGACAGAGUGAGGCUGGACCACUUCCAACCUCAGCCAUUCUGCCAUCAUAUAUAGUGAAUUGAAAUUUAAAAUGUCAAUUAAAAAAAAAAAUCUUGAGUAUCAACCUCAUUCUUUUUCAAUGUUAGUCAAGCCAACUGUUUCAUUCUUUGAGUGGGCAAGAACUAUACACAUGAAGUAAGAUUAUUUUAUGCUUUCCUAGUUUGCAGCUGUAAGUGAUGAUGCAUUAGCCUCCCACAGAGAGUAGUCAGUGAUCUGCAGAUUUUUAAAAGCAUCUAGACCAGGCUGCUCUCAGGUGCACAAAGCUGGACCUGUGUGAAUUUGCAUGACUCUGUGUUCCCUAACCUAGGCUGCUUACUUCUUAGGAAAAACUGAAAACAGCUGGGCUAGAAGGUUCUCAGGAAAAGUC